AGAACUGAGGGGGGCUGCUCCUAGUACGAGAGGACCGGAGUGGACGCAUCACUGGUGUUCGGGUUGUCAUGCCAAUGGCACUGCCCGGUAGCUAAAUGCGGAAGAGAUAAGUGCUGAAAGCAUCUAAGCACGAAACUUGCCCCGAGAUGAGUUCUCCCUGACCCUUUAAGGGUCCUGAAGGAACGUUGAAGACGACGACGUUGAUAGGCCGGGUGUGUAAGCGCAGCGAUGCGUUGAGCUAACCGGUACUAAUGAACCGUGAGGCUUAACCUUACAACGCCGAAGGUGUUU
RNAcentral lists this ribosomal RNA (291 nucleotides) under Escherichia coli. Its description in RNAcentral is "partial 23S ribosomal RNA". It matches the Rfam family "Bacterial large subunit ribosomal RNA", at positions 2658 to 2925 of the family's 2925-position model. The record is from RNAcentral. Lineage: Bacteria; Pseudomonadati; Pseudomonadota; Gammaproteobacteria; Enterobacterales; Enterobacteriaceae.